RNAcentral lists this ribosomal RNA (253 nucleotides) under uncultured bacterium. RNAcentral describes it as "partial 16S ribosomal RNA". It matches the Rfam family "Bacterial small subunit ribosomal RNA", at positions 524 to 776 of the family's 1533-position model. The record is from RNAcentral.
UACGAAGGGGGCUAGCGUUGCUCGGAUUGACUGGGCGUAAAGGGCGCGUAGGCGGUUCGUACAGUCAGACGUGAAAUUCCUGGGCUCAACCUGGGAACUGCGUCUGAUACUGGAUGGCUUGAGUUCGGGAGAGGGAUGCGGAAUUCCAGGUGUAGCGGUGAAAUGCGUAGAUAUCUGGAGGAACACCGGUGGCGAAGGCGGCAUCCUGGACCGACACUGACACUGAGGAGCGAAAGCCAGGGGAGCAAACAGG